GAACUGCUCAAAUGUCACUGCGACAUUUGCAAGGAUCAAAAUUACGUGUGCGAAACCGAUGGCCUGUGCUUUACGUCCCUCUCGCUGGACAAGGGCGUCUACAAGUACUCUUACAGCUGCCAGCCGAAAAAGUACGAUCUGGCCGAUCGGCCCCCGCUCAGCUGUCUCACCUCGAAGGAAAAGCGCAAUACGUUCACGAUCGAGUGCUGCUCGACCGAUUUCUGCAACCAUAACAAACUUUUGCAACUCCCCAAGCCAGGUACACCCAAACAGACUGUGGUCUCGAUAUUUAACUCUCUCUUUUUUUCGCUCAUUUUAAUUUGUUUUGAGUCCUUCGGCUCUCUCGAGCCGAGUGAUUCGUUCCUGAUUGUUUUCUUGUAAAUUUUAAACUGUAGAAUUUGCAAAUCCUUCGCUCUUCGCUCUCACUUACUUUUUUUGGUCAGGUUCAAAGGUUCCCAGUUUUAUUUUUUCUCUUUUCUUUUAGUUCCUAGUCGCUUGAAGAAUGGCUUCGUUCGAAUGACUUUCUAAUCUCGUGGAUGGAGCUGAGCACUUUUAUUAUUAUUUCGGAUGUUCGGUAGCUAAUCUUUUCAUUGCUGAAUGGAGAAACACGUAAAUUCCUAUCUCACUCAAUGCAACGUGACUAACUUUUAUUUGCAAGUAGCUCGCUCUCUAAAGUAGUAUUGAAUCCGCUGUAUAAUUUGGUUGCUGUAGUUCUAAGUUAGUUUCUAAAUCGAAUGUUGUAAAUAAUUUCCACUCAUGAUUUCAGCGGGCUGUUGGUUCUUCUUCUGUAGUUAGAAUGUUUCUUUAACUGCAAUGCAUUAACUUCGGUUAAGGUUUUGUAAAUAUUACUCUGUUUUUCUAUAUAAUAUUUAUAUUUAGGUACAAUAUUUUAAAAUUUGAUGACAAAAUUAUAAGCGGUCAGGUAAGUGUAGUUUUUCACAAAAUAUCAAACAUGUUUUUUUAUAUAUCAUUUUUCAGGAAGUCUGAUUUUAUUAAGACAAAAAAGCAAAAAAAAAUGUAAGGAUUAUUCUUCUAUCCUCAAAAAAAAUUUAUUUCCUAUAGUUUUCUUAUCCCUUCUCAAACCAAACAGAAGCGAAAAACUAGCAACAAAAUCAAGAUUUCCGUUUCCACAUUUCCAGACCAAAUCUUUGGGGAAAAAUCACAUUAUAACGCCAAUGUUGCGAGCGCUUCACGAGAAACGCUUUUCUCGUUCUUCUGAUGUAAACAUUUUAGUGCUAUUUUAAUAUUUUAUCUUAGUUUUUACGGGAUUCCUCUCUCCGGACUCAUUCACCCCAUUCUCCUAUCCCUCGGCAAAACAGGAAACGAGUAAUUCACUCGGAAAAUUUAGCCAUCGGAGAAAACUCGCGAAACACAAAAUCCCCGGGUAUAAAACCAGCCAAAGGAAGAAAGAAAAACCACCCCCAUCAUCAAACUUGAUGCACCCCACUCAAAGCUCGGUUCUGUGAAGGACGUAGAAGUGAGGUUAGGUUACGCGCGAAACUUUCGUCCGUGAGAAUCCUUCGUGUGUACACCUUCACUCACAUUCGAGUUGCUUGCUACACCGAUAACAGGGAGAGUACUCAAUUUUAUGACCAACACGAAAGGAUCUUUGUUGUCGUCCUGUCCUGGUUCAAUUUGGUUGAGGAUGGGGGAUUUUCACGUUCGGGCUAUUUGACCGUCCGUUGGAGAGUUUGAUGAACAAAGAUAGAUGGGUUUCUAUGUACCUUUUCAGAGGGUUGUUCCUUUUUUUUAAAUUCUUAUGGCUGUAUAGUGAAAAAUCGUAAAAUAGUAGAUGCAUAGCGUAGAAGUGGGGGGAUUUCCUGCACAAAUAAGUAUGUACAUUAGACUGAGUCGAUUUGGGGUCAUUUUUUAAUUUCUCAAACCCUGGACUCUAAAAAGCUUCAUCUUGGUCCAAAACUCAUCAAUGAUUUUUUGUAGAAUUUUUAAGUAACGAUUACAUGAGUAAAUUUGAACUUUUAGGUUUGUAUGGGAAAAUUGAAUAUUUUGUUCUGAAAAAUCAACAUCGUUUUUGAUCCUUCUGAGGAGCCGAGCCAGCUGACAGUUUGUGUGCCAAUUUAUAAAGUUCCUAAGGAAAAUUUGGCAAAAAAGUUAUUAGCUGUUUAACAGAGGUAUAUCUUUUCACAUUGUUAAACAACAAAUUGAAUCGACAUCACUGCUGGAGCCUCGCGAAGUAUUGCAAGAAAAGAAGUCAUGCAACACCUCACUAGGCGCCCUGCAGUGAUGUCAAUUGAAUUAGUUGUUUAUCAAUGCGAAAAGACAUAUCCUCAUACAACACCUAAUAACAUUUUUGCCUAAUAAGAUACGAAGCGUAAAAUUUUCCUUAGGAAUUUUAUAAAUUGGCACAAAAACUGUCAGCUGGCCCGGUUCCACAGAAGAAACAAAAAUGAUGUUGAUUUUUCAGAACAAAUUUUAAAUUUUCCCAUACAAACCUAAAAAUUCAAAUUUAUGUAAACGUUACUUAAAAACUUUACAAAAAAUCAUGGAUGAGUUUUGAACCAAGAUGAAGCUUUUUAGACCCCAGGGUUUGAGAAAUUCAAAAAUUACCUCAAAUCGACACAGUCUAAUGUACAUAUACAUUUUCAACAAUCACAUAACUAUUUUCCAUUUUUUUCCAAAGCAAAUUUCUACACACAUUUUUGUAAGACUGUGGACUUAUUCCUUUGGCAAUUAGCAUUUAGCUUAGCAAUAAAAAUAAAAAUUCAGCAAAAACAGAACAAUCAAAACAGUUCCGCUCUAAAUAACCAAAAUCAACCAGAACGUGAAUAAAAAAUUUCAAUACCGAAAUAAAGAACUGAAGGAAGUUUCGAAAAAAAACAUAUUCAUUUCAAUAAAUCGGAGAAAAUUACAAAAAAAAAGCCUGUACGAUAUUAAAAAACAUAUUGAUUAGGUUAAAAAAAUAAAAUAAUUCAUUGCAAAGAUAAAAAAAAACAAUUGUAUUUAAACUCUUUUCUAGCAACAAAUAAGACUGGGUAUUAAACUGAGUCGAUUUGGGGUCAUUUUUUAUUUUAUCAAAAGCUUUUUCUUGGUUCAAAACUCUUCCAUUUUUUGCAGGAUUUUUAAGUAGCGUUUUCAUGAGUAAAUUGGAAAUUUUAGGUUUUUAUAGGAAAAAAUUGAAUAUUUUGGACUGAA
Long non-coding RNA from Uranotaenia lowii, 3150 nucleotides. RefSeq lists it as uncharacterized. The record is from RefSeq and is a predicted model, not a curated record. The transcript has 2 exons. NCBI's taxonomy places the organism in Eukaryota, Metazoa, Arthropoda, Insecta, Diptera, Culicidae.